RNAcentral lists this ribosomal RNA (253 nucleotides) under uncultured bacterium. Its description in RNAcentral is "partial 16S ribosomal RNA". It matches the Rfam family "Bacterial small subunit ribosomal RNA", at positions 524 to 776 of the family's 1533-position model. The record is from RNAcentral.
UACGUAGGGCGCAAGCGUUAUCCGGAAUUAUUGGGCGUAAAGAGCUCGUAGGCGGUUUGUCGCGUCUGCCGUGAAAGUCCGGGGCUCAACUCCAGAUCUGCGGUGGGUACGGGCAGACUAGAGUGAUGUAGGGGAGACUGGAAUUCCUGGUGUAGCGGUGAAAUGCGCAGAUAUCAGGAGGAACACCGGUGGCGAAGGCGGGUCUCUGGGCCGGUACUGACGCUGAGACGCGAAAGCGUGGGGAGCGAACAGG